Talpa occidentalis (Iberian mole) is the source of this 126-nucleotide small nucleolar RNA. RefSeq annotates it as small nucleolar RNA SNORA77. The transcript has a single exon. Lineage: Eukaryota; Metazoa; Chordata; Mammalia; Eulipotyphla; Talpidae. The record is from RefSeq and is a predicted model, not a curated record.
GCAGACUCACUCUGUACCCGGCUGCAGCCCCAGGCGGGUGCUUUUUUCGUCUGCUACAGAAACAUUCUGGGUGCUGUGACCACCUUGACCUCUGUCAAGGGUGAUGUAGUUGCCUGGGACACAGGG